This 445-nucleotide ribosomal RNA is filed under the name uncultured bacterium. RNAcentral's name for it is "partial 16S ribosomal RNA". It matches the Rfam family "Bacterial small subunit ribosomal RNA", at positions 354 to 796 of the family's 1533-position model. The record is from RNAcentral.
GUGGGGAAUUUUGGACAAUUGGCGGGAGCCUGAACCAGCCAAGUCGCGUGAAGGAAGAAGGAUCUAUGGUUCGUAAACUUCUUUUGCAGGGGAAUAAAGUGCAGGACGUGUCCUGUUUUGUAUGUACCCUGAGAAUAAGGAUCGGCUAACUCCGUGCCAGCAGCCGCGGUAAUACGGAGGAUCCGAGCGUUAUCCGGAUUUAUUGGGUUUAAAGGGUGCGUAGGUGGUUUGAUAAGUCAGCGGUGAAAGUUUGCAGCUUAACUGUAAAAAUGCCGUUGAAACUGUCGGACUUGAGUGUAAAUGAGGUAGGCGGAAUGCGUGGUGUAGCGGUGAAAUGCAUAGAUAUCACGCAGAACUCCGAUUGCGAAGGCAGCUUACUAAGCUACAACUGACACUGAAGCACGAAAGCGUGGGGAUCAAACAGGAUUAGAUACCCUGGUAGUCC